Molecule: ribosomal RNA, 449 nt
Filed under: Plasmodium inui
Lineage: Eukaryota; Apicomplexa; Aconoidasida; Haemosporida; Plasmodiidae
Description: bacterial SSU rRNA
Rfam family: Eukaryotic small subunit ribosomal RNA
Source: RNAcentral
AGUUGGGCGCCUUUUAUUAAAUGAUUCUUUUUAGAUCUUUCUUUUUUGCUUCGGCAUUUUAGGAGAUCUUGUUACUUUGAGUAAAUUAGAGUGUUCAAAGCAAACAGAUUAUAGCAUCUUUAUGCGUUUGAAUACUACAGCAUGGAAUAACAAAAUUGAACAAGUCAGAAUUUUGUUCUUUUUUCUUAUUUUGGCUUAGUUACGAUUAAUAGGAGUAGCUUGGGGGCAUUUGUAUUCAGAUGUCAGAGGUGAAAUUCUUAGAUUUUCUGGAGACAAACAACUGCGAAAGCAUUUGCCUAAAAUACUUCCAUUAAUCAAGAACGAAAGUUAAGGGAGUGAAGACGAUCAGAUACCGUCGUAAUCUUAACCAUAAACUAUGCCGACUAGGCUUUGGAUGAAAGAUUUUAAAAUAACAGAAUUCUCCCCCCGGAGUUGGUCAUAAAAGUCGA